RNAcentral lists this ribosomal RNA (445 nucleotides) under uncultured bacterium. Its description in RNAcentral is "bacterial SSU rRNA". It matches the Rfam family "Bacterial small subunit ribosomal RNA", at positions 354 to 796 of the family's 1533-position model. The record is from RNAcentral.
GUGAGGAAUAUUGGUCAAUGGGCGCAAGCCUGAACCAGCCAUGCCGCGUGCAGGAAGAAGCAUCUAUGGUGUGUAAACUGCUUUUGUACGGGAAGAAACACUCCUACGUGUAGGAAUUUGACGGUACCGUAAGAAUAAGGAUCGGCUAACUCCGUGCCAGCAGCCGCGGUAAUACGGAGGAUCCAAGCGUUAUCCGGAAUCAUUGGGUUUAAAGGGUCCGUAGGCGGUUUAAUAAGUCAGUGGUGAAAGCCCAUCGCUUAACGAUGGAACGGCCAUUGAUACUGUUAGACUUGAAUUACUGGGAAGUAACUAGAAUAUGUAGUGUAGCGGUGAAAUGCUUAGAUAUUACAUGGAAUACCAAUUGCGAAGGCAGGUUACUACCAGUGGAUUGACGCUGAUGGACGAAAGCGUGGGGAGCGAACAGGAUUAGAAACCCGUGUAGUCC